AACCCAUGGUGAGGGCACAUUCUCAAUAGAUGCUUUUACCUCUCCUAUGCAUCAUGUAAAGGCUCUAAAUCAAUUUGCACGAAGGAAGAGAUAUCAUUCCUAUCAUU
Small nucleolar RNA from Gossypium arboreum, 107 nucleotides. It matches the Rfam family "Plant small nucleolar RNA R71". Rfam says of the family: R71 is a member of the C/D box family of snoRNAs containing the C (UGAUGA) and D (CUGA) box motifs. Lineage: Eukaryota; Viridiplantae; Streptophyta; Magnoliopsida; Malvales; Malvaceae. The record is from Rfam.